GACGGAGGGUGCUAGCGUUGUUCGGAAUCACUGGGCGUAAAGGGCGCGUAGGCGGCUUCAGGUGUCGGAUGUGAAAGCCCGGGGCUCAACCCCGGAGGUGCAUCCGAAACUCUGGAGCUGGAGGCCGGAAGAGGAGGGUGGAAUACCCAGUGUAGAGGUGAAAUUCGUAGAUAUUGGGUGGAACACCGGUGGCGAAAGCGGCUCUCUGGUCCGGUUCUGACGCUGAGGCGCGAAAGCGUGGGGAGCAAACAGG
Molecule: ribosomal RNA, 253 nt
Filed under: uncultured bacterium
Lineage: Bacteria
Description: partial 16S ribosomal RNA
Rfam family: Bacterial small subunit ribosomal RNA
Source: RNAcentral